GUUGGGACCGCCUCUGCUAAAGAGGAGGAAGGAAUGGGCAACGGUAGGUCAGCAUGCCCCGAAUUAUCCGGGCUACACGCGGGCUACAAUGGUCAGGACAAUGGGCAUCAACACCGAAAGGUGAAGGCAAUCUCUUAAACCUGUCCUUAGUUCGGAUUGUGGGCUGCAACUCGCCCACAUGAAGCUGGAAUCUGUAGUAAUCGCGUCUCAAAAAUGGCGCGGUGAAUAUGUCCCUGCUCCUU
RNAcentral lists this ribosomal RNA (242 nucleotides) under uncultured Methanolinea sp. RNAcentral describes it as "partial 16S ribosomal RNA". It matches the Rfam family "Archaeal small subunit ribosomal RNA", at positions 1098 to 1338 of the family's 1478-position model. Lineage: Archaea; Methanobacteriati; Methanobacteriota; Methanomicrobia; Methanomicrobiales; Methanoregulaceae. The record is from RNAcentral.